RNAcentral lists this long non-coding RNA (587 nucleotides) under Bos taurus (domestic cattle). Its description in RNAcentral is "long non-coding RNA NONBTAT023570". The record is from RNAcentral. Lineage: Eukaryota; Metazoa; Chordata; Mammalia; Artiodactyla; Bovidae.
AUGGGAUCCAGCAAUUGGGGUUUGGAUGGCUUAGUAUUUGUUAUUAAUUGGCAGGUAAGGAAAAAAAAAAUAUACCAGAAACUUCUUCCUAAUGGCACAUUUCUGAGCCCUUUCCUAUAAUCACCAAAUUAUAAUACCCUCUUUAAAGAGGUUAGUUUCUUUUGUUUCAAAAACAAAGUAAUCAAAAUGCUGAAAAAUUCAGUCAUUCUAGUUAAUUCAUUAAAAAUUUUUAAAUGUCUGUAGAGUUGGUGCUAAAGAGUUUUCAUAUCCAUGACUCUUCAAAUCAGUGAUGCUGUCAUGAGGGACCAGGGAAAAAUUUUGAUCUCUUGAUGUACAAAUCACUUUUUGUAUAGGUGAACUGUAAGAGUCAACCUUUAUUUGUAUGCAGGUACCUGUUAAUGAUUGUUAGCCAUCUCUCCUUGUCUCAUCCCUAGUGCCCUAUACUAAAAAAUCGCUACUAUAUGGUCACAUUAAGGAGAUGUCUAAUUUGGGAAAACUUCAUUUUGAUGUAUAUUUGGCACCACCACUGAGUCUUAGCAACAUCUAGACUUUUGUAGAACAUAAAGUCUCUUAUGAUACAAAGUGAU